This 566-nucleotide ribosomal RNA is filed under the name uncultured Glomus. RNAcentral describes it as "bacterial SSU rRNA". It matches the Rfam family "Eukaryotic small subunit ribosomal RNA", at positions 534 to 1105 of the family's 1831-position model. Lineage: Eukaryota; Fungi; Glomeromycota; Glomeromycetes; Glomerales; Glomeraceae. The record is from RNAcentral.
AAUUCGAUUUUGGAGGGCAAGUCUGGUGCCAGCAGCCGCGGUAAUUCCAGCUCCAAUAGCGUAUAUUAAAGUUGUUGCAGUUAAAAAGCUCGUAGUUGAAUUUCGGGAUCAGUACGCUGGUCGUGCCUUCGGUAUGCACUGGUGUCACUGGUUCCUACCUUCUGAAGAACCGUCAUGCCAUUCAGUUGGUGUGGCGGGGAAUCAGGACUGUUACUUUGAAAAAAUUAGAGUGUUUAAAGCAGGCUCGCGCUUGAAUACAUUAGCAUGGGAUAAUAGAAUAGGACUGUUGGUUCUGUUUUGUUGGUUUCCAGGGCCAGAGUAAUGAUUAAUAGGGACAGUUGGGGGCAUUCGUAUUUACUUGCUAGAGGUGAAAUUCUUGGAUUUAGUAAAGACGAACUAAUGCGAAAGCAUCUGCCAGGGAUGUUUUCAUUAAUCAAGAACGAAAGUUAGGGGAUCGAAGACGAUUAGAUACCGUCGUAGUCUUAACCAUAAACGAUGCCGUCCAGGGAUCGGAUGUAGCUCUUUAAAUGGCUCAUUCGGCGCCUUACGGGAAACAAUCACUAGUG